RNAcentral lists this ribosomal RNA (468 nucleotides) under uncultured bacterium. RNAcentral describes it as "partial 16S ribosomal RNA". It matches the Rfam family "Bacterial small subunit ribosomal RNA", at positions 28 to 507 of the family's 1533-position model. The record is from RNAcentral.
GACGAACGCUGGCGGCGUGCUUAACACAUGCAAGUCGAACGGAAAGGCCCUGCUUUUGUGGGGUGCUCGAGUGGCGAACGUGUGAGUAACACGUGAGUAACCUUCCCUUGACUUUGGGGUAACUUCAGGAAACUUGUGCUAAUACCUGAUAGGAUCUCCUGCUGCAUGGUGGUGGUUGGAACGUUUCGGCGGUUGGGGAUGUACUCGCUGCUUAUCAGCUUGUUGGUGGGGUAGUGGCUUACCAAGGCUUUGACGGGUAGCCGGCCUGAGAGGGUGACCGGCGAAAUGGGGACGGAGAGACGGCGCAGAAGGGAACGGGAGGCAGCAGUGGGGAAUAUGGCACAAUGGGAGGAAGCAUGAGGAAGAAAAGCAGGGUGAGGGAUGACGGCCUUCGGGUUGUAAAAAGAAGGAGAAUGUGACGAAGAGUGAGUGACGGUAAUGGGAAAAGAAGCACCGGCUAACUACGUG